This 253-nucleotide ribosomal RNA is filed under the name uncultured bacterium. RNAcentral describes it as "partial 16S ribosomal RNA". It matches the Rfam family "Bacterial small subunit ribosomal RNA", at positions 524 to 776 of the family's 1533-position model. The record is from RNAcentral.
UACGAAGGGGGCAAGCGUUGUCCGGAAUUAUUGGGCGUAAAGCGCGCGCAGGCGGUCCCUUAAGUCUGAUGUGAAAGCCCACGGCUCAACCGUGGAGGGUCAUUGGAAACUGGGGGACUUGAGUGCAGAAGAGGAAAGUGGAAUUCCAUGUGUAGCGGUGAAAUGCAUAGAGAUGUGGAGGAACACCAGUGGCGAAGGCGACUUUCUGGUCUGUAACUGACGCUGAGGCGCGAAAGCGUGGGGAGCAAACAGG